RNAcentral lists this ribosomal RNA (433 nucleotides) under uncultured bacterium. RNAcentral's name for it is "partial 16S ribosomal RNA". It matches the Rfam family "Bacterial small subunit ribosomal RNA", at positions 29 to 507 of the family's 1533-position model. The record is from RNAcentral.
AACGAACGCUGGCGGCAUGUCUAACACAUGCAAGUCGAACGAGACCUUCGCGUCUAGUGGCGCACGGGUGCGUAACGCGUGGGAACCUGCCCUUAGGUUCGGAAUAACUCCCCGAAAGGGGUGCUAAUACCGGAUAAUGUCUUCGGACCAAAGAUUUAUCGCCUUUGGAUGGGCCCGCGUUGGAUUAGCUAGUUGGUAGGGUAAAAGCCUACCAAGGCGACGAUCCAUAGCUGGUCUGAGAGGAUGAUCAGCCACACUGGGACUGAGACACGGCCCAGACUCCUACGGGAGGCAGCAGUGGGGAAUAUUGGAUAAUGGGCGAAAGCCUGAUCCAGCAAUGCCGCGUGAGUGAUGAAGGCCUUAGGGUUGUAAAGCUCUUUUACCCGGGAUGAUAAUGACAGUACCGGGAGAAUAAGCUCCGGCUAACUCCGUG